Molecule: non-coding RNA, 3834 nt
Organism: Zonotrichia albicollis (white-throated sparrow)
Lineage: Eukaryota; Metazoa; Chordata; Aves; Passeriformes; Passerellidae
Source: RefSeq, a predicted model, not a curated record
GGCUCCGUUUCUGGCCUUUUGUGAGAAAUGUGAUGUUCUGUAGUUGCGGUGUCUUUUUUGAUCCCUUUCUUUCUCCACUCCCCGCCCCCCCCUUUCGUGUGUGUGGCUAGGUUAAAAGCAUGUGGUUCUCAAACGUCUGCCUGGGUUAUGCCAGUUGGACCGGGAGAUGCCGGAUCUUCUGUUCUGACUGCUAUUUUUGCUGAGGAUUUGGGAUUUUUUUUUUUUUUUUUUGGUUGUUGUUUUUAGCUAGCAGCCUUAGAAAUUUCACCCUGGAAACGGCAGCAUCAGAUGCCUCCAACUCUUGCCUUAGCUCCAGCAGAGGGGUGGAUUUCAGUACAGCAGCACACAUCACCAAAGAGACACACGAGUUCGCCCUCCAGACAUCACUCAGCCAACUCGCCUUUCCUCGGCUCCCUCCCCCUUCUCGAGUCUUUUUCUUGGGGUGGCAGCACCAAGCUAACCCCAAGCCAAAGCACUCGUUUGGUGGCACCUUUCACCAACCACCCCUAAACAAAACACGAUGAUUAACACAGCCCCCGAAUUCAAUUAGACAUUCAAUAUGCUAAUGUGAGGUCUGAAACCCACCCCAGCAGAACAAUAAAAAUGGUAUCAACCCACGUUUUCUUUGUGCAGGCAAGGAGAAGGAGAGGGAGAGACAGAAAAUCAUCUCCCCUGUUUCCUGAACUGCAGUGGGGAGGGGGAAAUAUUUUCUACAGGAAAAAGGGGUUGGUUUCAACUGAAGCAAACAUAUUAUCUUUACAUGUGUUAUAUUUAGAGAACAACUGGGUUUCUUUCAUCUUUUUUCCCUUUCUUUCAUGUCCAAGGAGCAACUGCAGUGACUCUGCUGCCAGCAACAGCAUGUGUGCUGUCAAUUCCUGUCCAUUUCACCUCAGGUCACUAAAUGACUUAAAAAAAAAGAAAAAUGAAGGUCGAAGAAAGCAGGAGGGGGAAUAAAAAUUUCCAGUUCCCGUGACCACCCUUGUUUCACCUCUUCUGCCUUGACAACACACCUCUCUUCCAGACUCAAAGUACCCCCUUUGGACUCCAGCCCUGUGAGGUGAGGUACUGCUCAUCUGAAUCUUCCUGAGUGUUUGUAUGUACAAACCAACUGCCCAGAAAGCAGGGGUUUGGAAAUAGCAAAACAGAAAAUAUGACUACACCACUCUAAAAAAGUCUGCGGUAUGCCCACAUUGUGAAUGCAGUAUGCAGUUCUGAUCUCUUCCUAACUCUAACAGAUCUAGUGGGACUAGAGGGAUCUCUGGAGAACAUGGGACAGCUUCUAUAAGGUAAGUCCCUCCAGCCUGGGUAGGAGGUGGUUGAGGGAGCUCUGAUAAUAUUUGUAAGAGUGCCAUGGUAAAAGUGAACGAGAAAUGAUUGUUAUUCCUUGUAAUAUAUGAUCGAAAGGCAUUAAAUGAAGUUAUUAAGUUGUAUAUUUAAAACAAACAAUAGGAGGCACUUUUUUUUCUCACAGGACAUAGUUAAAUGAUGGAAGUUGUUACCACAGAAGCUUAUAAAUGACAGAAGAUUAUGUGGACUGAAAGAGCAAUUAGAUAAACCCACAGACAAAAAAAAUCUUUUAAGGCUACAGCACACAAAGAUAAAAAACCUGACUGUACAUCCCAAAUGUGUCAGAAUUUAGGAUGCAUACCAGGGGAAUAGCUACUAAAUAAGUACCUUGCUAUUAAGUACUCUUCUAGGCAUUUGCAAACAGGCUAGCAGGUAGACAUUUGCUAGCAGGUAGGAUGCUGGGGCCAGACUAAUCUUUUGCCUGUUCAGCCCAGCUUAUGCUUAAAUUAUUAUUCCUGAUUUAAAGGAUUUGCUUUCAAAUGAAUUGCAUUUCAGUUUGCUGCUUGUUUCACAUUGCAUGUAUGUCGUUGAGGGGAGCAUAUCCACUGCUGGCACAAAUGGCAGUGGUGCUCUCUUGCACAGUGUACAAUGGGGUUUCCCAAACCAGGGGAAUAUCAGGGAAGCUAAGAGAGCUGACAGAAGUCUGCAGCUUGUGUGGUAGUGGCUGACAAGACCUGGGCAGGCCCAGAAGCAACAGUAAACAAUUCUCCCCCCCAGAAAAAAAAGAAUCCCUCAGGGCACGGCAUGGCAAUUGGUGCAGGGUAUGCAGGAAGAGCACAAAACCCCUGCAAGCUCAACCAGGAAGCAAUGGCAUCCACCUGGCAGAAAGCUACAACCUCUCUAAGCUCUGCACCCAGCAUGACUGAUGCAGCUGCCCACAGUGCUCCAGGGAACAUGCUGACACUCCAAAGGCAGCUGCAGAGUGUGCUCUGCAGAAGGGAGGAGUGAGUACACCUCUGGGGAGGUGCACCCAGGUAGAGGAGCUCCUUUGAUUACUGACAGAGCAUGAGAGAGAGAGAGAUACCACUGGAAUUUCACCCUACUUUCCCUGUGACAGGCCUGACAGGCAGAGAGGAUGCACAAUAUGGAGAAUUCCCUGCCCACUUUCACCCUGGCAGAACACAGUUACUUAAUGUCUAGAACAGCAGGCGCAUUUUCCCUGACUUUUCAGGUGCCCUGGCCUAAUAGUGUGAGGCUCUGCAAGCAGACCUGAACAACAGCAAGGACAAUGAUUCAUCUAGCUUGGAAGUGUCACCGAAGUCCUGAAAGGAAAAGGAGUCCAGGAAGACCAGACACUCCUCAAGAAGGAAAACUUAAAGAUGAAGGAGCAGGCCAUUACCAUAUGCCAAAAGACAAACUGGAGGAAAAGGAUGCUGUGUUUGAACAGAGAGCUUUGGCUGGAACUCAGGGUAAAAGAAAAGCAGUAUAUCACCUUUGAAAGAAAGGGUGGGCAACUCAGGAAGACAAGGAUGCCAUAAGGUUAUAUAAGGAGAAAAUUAGAAGGGCCAAAGCCCAAGUAGAACUUAAUCUGGCUAAUGUUGUAAACGACAACAAAAAAACACAUCAGCAACAGACAGAAUAUAAUAAAGGGAACUGAGAGAGCACUGAAAGUGUUCACCAAUAUAUUUAUCACCAAUAUAUUUAUCACCAAUUUAUACCAACAUUUUAUCACCAAUUAUUUACCAGCACUCCUGGCUAACCAGGGCAGUGCCAACUGACCGGAAGGUGGCAAAUGUGACUUCCAGCUACAAGGUGGACCAGAAGGAAGGUACUGAGAUCCACAGGCCUGUUAGCGUGGCCUUGAUGCUGGGGAAGGUCAUGGAGCAGGUCAUCCUGAGGGCCAUCACACAGCAGGUACAGGGCAACCAGGGGAUGAGGCACAGCCAACGUGGGUUUGGGAAAGUCAGGUCCUGCCUAACCAACCUGUGACCCGCCUAGUGGAUAAGGGAAAGGCUACAGAUACAGUUUUCCCAGACAUUAGCAAAGCCUUUGGCAAUGCCUCCCACUGGAUUGUCUUCACGAAAUUAACUACUUAAGGCUUGGAUGUAUGGACUGUUCAUCACAUAAAAACUGGAUGUCUGGGCCAGAGAGUGGUGGUCAAUGGAAUCAAAUCCUGUCUGCAGAGGAUCACUAGUGGAGUUUCUCAGUUCUCAGUAUUGGGGCUGAUCCUGUUUAAAGUCUUUAUCAAUGUUCUGGAUGAGGGACUUGAACUCAAUUAGUUCACAGAUGACACUAAUUUGGGUGGGAGUGUUGAUCUGCUGGAGGGUGGGAAGGCUGUACAGAGAGAUCUUGACAGACUGAACUGAUGGGCUGAGAAUGAGGUUCAACAAGGCAAAGUUCCAAGUCCUGCACUUCAGUUACAACAAAGCUUGAGGUGCUACAAGCUUGGGGUAGCGUGUCUGGAAAGCUGCUUAGCAGAAAGGGAUCUGGGGCUGCUGCUUGACAGCAGCUGAACAUGAGCCAGCAGAGUGCCUAGAUGGCCAAGAA